Molecule: ribosomal RNA, 292 nt
Filed under: uncultured bacterium
Lineage: Bacteria
Description: partial 16S ribosomal RNA
Rfam family: Bacterial small subunit ribosomal RNA
Source: RNAcentral
GUGUCAGCCGCCGCGGUAAAACGUAGGACACAAGCGUUAUCCGGAAUUACUGGGCGUAAAGGGCGUGCAGGCGGUUGGGUAAGUUAGGCGUGAAAGACUUCGGCUAAACCGGGGGAGGUCGUCUGAUACUGCUCAACUUGAGUAUGGUAGAGGCGUGUAGAAUUCCGGGUGUAGUGGUGAAAUGCGUAGAGAUCCGGAGGAAUACCAGUGGCGAAGGCGGCACGCUGGGCCAUAACUGACGCUAAGACGCGAAAGCAUGGGUAGCGAACGGGAUUAGAAACCCCCGUAGUCC